UACGUAGGGUGCAAGCGUUGUCCGGAAUUAUUGGGCGUAAAGAGCUCGUAGGCGGUUUGUCGCGUCUGCUGUGAAAUCCCGAGGCUCAACCUCGGGCCUGCAGUGGGUACGGGCAGACUAGAGUGCGGUAGGGGAGAUUGGAAUUCCUGGUGUAGCGGUGAAAUGCGCAGAUAUCAGGAGGAACACCGGUGGCGAAGGCGGGUCUCUGGGCCGUAACUGACGCUGAGGAGCGAAAGCGUGGGGAGCAAACAGG
RNAcentral lists this ribosomal RNA (253 nucleotides) under uncultured bacterium. RNAcentral's name for it is "partial 16S ribosomal RNA". It matches the Rfam family "Bacterial small subunit ribosomal RNA", at positions 524 to 776 of the family's 1533-position model. The record is from RNAcentral.